CGCCAGACUCCUACGGGAGGCAGCAGUGGGGAAUAUUGCACAAUGGGGGAAACCCUGAUGCAGCGACGCCGCGUGAGCGAAGAAGUAUUUCGGUAUGUAAAGCUCUAUCAGCAGGGAAGAAAAUGACGGUACCUGAGUAAGAAGCUCCGGCUAAAUACGUGCCAGCAGCCGCGGUAAUACGUAUGGAGCAAGCGUUAUCCGGAUUUACUGGGCGUAAAGGGAGCGUAGGCGGCCUGCCAAGUCUGAUGUGAAAUGCCGGGGCUCAACCCCGGGGCUGCAUUGGAAACUGGCAGGCUGGAGUGCCGGAGAGGCAGGCGGAAUUCCCGGUGUAGCGGUGAAAUGCGUAGAGAUCGGGAGGAACACCAGUGGCGAAGGCGGCCUGCUGGGCUUUAACUGACGCUGAAGCACGAAAGCGUGGGUAGCAAACAGGAUUAGAUACCCGGGUA
RNAcentral lists this ribosomal RNA (446 nucleotides) under uncultured bacterium. RNAcentral's name for it is "bacterial SSU rRNA". It matches the Rfam family "Bacterial small subunit ribosomal RNA", at positions 329 to 792 of the family's 1533-position model. The record is from RNAcentral.